This is a non-coding RNA of Mustela putorius furo (domestic ferret), 117 nucleotides long. NCBI's taxonomy places the organism in Eukaryota, Metazoa, Chordata, Mammalia, Carnivora, Mustelidae. The record is from Rfam.
UUGCUCACUUUGACAGCACAUACAGUAAAAUUGGAAAGAUAAAGAGAAGAUUAGCUUGGCCCCUGUGCUAGGCUGCACAAGGAUGACACACAAAUUCAUGAAGUGUUCCAUAUUGAA